This 23-nucleotide non-coding RNA is filed under the name Arabidopsis thaliana (thale cress). Lineage: Eukaryota; Viridiplantae; Streptophyta; Magnoliopsida; Brassicales; Brassicaceae. The record is from RNAcentral.
ACUUCGGAAGAUGGUCAAGGUAC